UACGGAGGAGGUAAGCGUUGUUCGGAAUCACUGGGCUUAAAGGGCGUGUAGGCGGAGUGUCAGGUGCUUUGUGAAAGCCCCCGGCUCAACCGGGGAAUGGCUUGGCAAACCGACACUCUUGAGGCAGGUAGAGGCGGCUGGAACCUUUGGUGGAGAGGUGAAAUUCGUAGAUAUCAAAGGGAACGCCGGUGGCGAAAGCGAGUCGCUGGGCCUGUCCUGACGCUGAGACGCGAAAGCGUAGGGAGCGAACGGG
Molecule: ribosomal RNA, 253 nt
Filed under: uncultured bacterium
Lineage: Bacteria
Description: partial 16S ribosomal RNA
Rfam family: Bacterial small subunit ribosomal RNA
Source: RNAcentral